Molecule: long non-coding RNA, 254 nt
Organism: Patiria miniata (bat star)
Lineage: Eukaryota; Metazoa; Echinodermata; Asteroidea; Valvatida; Asterinidae
Exons: 3
Source: RefSeq, a predicted model, not a curated record
GGAGGACUGACAGAUGAACGGAUGACCUGCUUGCUGGGCUUCCCAUUACUUAUUCUUGAGACAUAAGGACCACUGACUGGUGAGGGAAUUGCCCUAUGAUGGAUGAGCCUGCCUCAAGCUGCCAUAAGCUGGGAGGACCGACGGUUGACUGACUCUGCCUGCUUGGUUGGCCAUCACCGAUUCUUGAGAAGAUGAGGACCGCCAAGCUUGGAUGAGACUGGAAAAUUACGAAGCUGCUCUAUCUGGACAAGGGU